AUUCCAGCUCCAAUAGCGUAUAUUAAAGUUGUUGCAGUUAAAACGCUCGUAGUCGAAGGUUAGACAAGGGGGUGUGGUAUGCUUUUGGCAUGACUGUGCCUGCUGAGUCUUUAGAUGGGGGAUGGGGGUGGGAGUCAAUCUCAUUUUCGAAACCCAGGAUUACUGUGAAGAAAUUAAAGUGUUCAAAGCAGGCGUUUGCUUGGAUACGUUAGCAUGGAAUAAUAGGAUAGGACCGUGGUUCUAUUUUGUUGGUUUAGGACCAAGGUAAUGAUUAAUAGGGACAGUUGGGGGCAUUAGUAUUCAGUAGUCAGAGGUGAAAUUCUUGGAUUUAUUGAAGACUAACUAGAGCGAAAGCAUUUGCCAAGGAUGUUUUCAUUG
RNAcentral lists this ribosomal RNA (378 nucleotides) under fungal sp. RNAcentral describes it as "partial small subunit ribosomal RNA". It matches the Rfam family "Eukaryotic small subunit ribosomal RNA", at positions 582 to 975 of the family's 1831-position model. Lineage: Eukaryota; Fungi. The record is from RNAcentral.